RNAcentral lists this long non-coding RNA (517 nucleotides) under Apteryx rowi (Okarito brown kiwi). RNAcentral describes it as "lncRNA (ENSARWG00000012874.1)". The record is from RNAcentral. Lineage: Eukaryota; Metazoa; Chordata; Aves; Apterygiformes; Apterygidae.
CCCGGGCCGCAGCCAGCGGCGCCCCUCCGGCGGCCGCGCUCCGCGGCGGCUUGUGCCGAGCUGCGAGACGGGGCCGGGCGGGAGGGAAGGGAAGGGAAGGAGGUGCCCCCCGCCCCGCAUCCACGCCGCUGCCGUGCACUGGAGCCUGCCUGCUGGUGAUCUCGGCAAAUAUGUUCAACUAUUCAAUCCAUUCUGAGCAACAGAUAUUAGAAGAGUUCUGGAUGGAAAGCUUAAAGCAAGUGAAGAAAAAACUUACAGUUAGGUUCACAAAAAGAAAGCUGAUUCCAAGAAUGCUCAGAUCAAACGACUAGUUUCUACAGAAUACAGCCACCGGUUCUCUUCCUCUCACCAGAACCACCCCCCCCAAAAAAAAAGAAAAAGAAAAAGGAAAAAAAACAACACACACAGCCCAAUUGAAAAGACAAGAAGGACAUACGCAAGUCAUGAAUAUCUUAGAUGAUGCUAUGCGAACUUGAGUAAUUGGAGGUAAUAGGAAAACUAAAAGCCACAACCUCAC